This is a long non-coding RNA of Perognathus longimembris pacificus (Pacific pocket mouse), 413 nucleotides long. RefSeq lists it as uncharacterized. NCBI's taxonomy places the organism in Eukaryota, Metazoa, Chordata, Mammalia, Rodentia, Heteromyidae. The record is from RefSeq and is a predicted model, not a curated record. The transcript has 2 exons.
ACCAAGAUGGCAGCUGUCACCUUGGGUAGAGAAGGCCUUCCUGCUGGGGGCACUGGCCUGCUUCACCUGCUGUCUCAUGUCUUUCCAUCACCAGCACAGGUCAUCGGGAGCCUCCACAGGAAGAGUGGGGGGCCACAGUUGUCCUCUGGAGUUGAUCAUGACGAGGGAGGUCCACUCAACCACUGACGGCUCUCGUGCAGUCCGUAAGGCCUGUGCCUGCCCGAAGCUCUGCGUCCCGGUCCUCUGCAGCUGGGUGUCGCCUCUGCAUUCAGUCUCCGUGUGAGCUCCAUCCAUGCUGGCCGUGCACAUUACCCGCCUGAGACCUCCGGACACGGUCUGGGCUUUAGGAACUAGCCUCCACGGAGGCCAUGAUGCUCACCGACCCUUCCCAGAAUAAACCGAGUUCACGUGUC